RNAcentral lists this ribosomal RNA (751 nucleotides) under Streptomyces sp. Its description in RNAcentral is "bacterial SSU rRNA". It matches the Rfam family "Bacterial small subunit ribosomal RNA", at positions 83 to 846 of the family's 1533-position model. Lineage: Bacteria; Bacillati; Actinomycetota; Actinomycetes; Kitasatosporales; Streptomycetaceae. The record is from RNAcentral.
CGGGGUGGAUUAGUGGCGAACGGGUGAGUAACACGUGGGCAAUCUGCCCUUCACUCUGGGACAAGCCCUGGAAACGGGGUCUAAUACCGGAUAAUACUUCUUCCCGCAUGGGAAGAGGUUGAAAGCUCCGGCGGUGAAGGAUGAGCCCGCGGCCUAUCAGCUUGUUGGUGGGGUGAUGGCCCACCAAGGCGACGACGGGUAGCCGGCCUGAGAGGGCGACCGGCCACACUGGGACUGAGACACGGCCCAGACUCCUACGGGAGGCAGCAGUGGGGAAUAUUGCACAAUGGGCGAAAGCCUGAUGCAGCGACGCCGCGUGAGGGAUGACGGCCUUCGGGUUGUAAACCUCUUUCAGCAGGGAAGAAGCGAAAGUGACGGUACCUGCAGAAGAAGCGCCGGCUAACUACGUGCCAGCAGCCGCGGUAAUACGUAGGGCGCAAGCGUUGUCCGGAAUUAUUGGGCGUAAAGAGCUCGUAGGCGGCUUGUCACGUCGGAUGUGAAAGCCCGGGGCUUAACCCCGGGUCUGCAUUCGAUACGGGCUAGCUAGAGUGUGGUAGGGGAGAUCGGAAUUCCUGGUGUAGCGGUGAAAUGCGCAGAUAUCAGGAGGAACACCGGUGGCGAAGGCGGAUCUCUGGGCCAUUACUGACGCUGAGGAGCGAAAGCGUGGGGAGCGAACAGGAUUAGAUACCCUGGUAGUCCACGCCGUAAACGUUGGGAACUAGGUGUUGGCGACAUUCCACGUCGUCGGUGC